UACAGAGGUGGCAAGCGUUGUUCGGAAUUACUGGGCGUAAAGGGCGAGUAGGCGGCCUUCUAAGUCAGACGUGAAAUCCCCCGGCUUAACCUGGGAACUGCGUCUGAUACUGGGGGGCUAGAGUAUGGGAGAGGAAGGUAGAAUUCCAGGUGUAGCGGUGAAAUGCGUAGAUAUCUGGAGGAAUACCGGUGGCGAAGGCGGCCUUCUGGACCAUAACUGACGCUGAUCCGCGAAAGCUAGGGGAGCAAACGGG
This 253-nucleotide ribosomal RNA is filed under the name uncultured bacterium. RNAcentral's name for it is "partial 16S ribosomal RNA". It matches the Rfam family "Bacterial small subunit ribosomal RNA", at positions 524 to 776 of the family's 1533-position model. The record is from RNAcentral.